UAGAGCUUUCCCCUUCGGGGGACAAAGUGACAGGUGGUGCAUGGUUGUCGUCAGCUCGUGUCGUGAGAUGUUGGGUUAAGUCCCGCAACGAGCGCAACCCUUAAGCUUAGUUGCCAUCAUUAAGUUGGGCACUCUAAGUUGACUGCCGGUGACAAACCGGAGGAAGGUGGGGAUGACGUCAAAUCAUCAUGCCCCUUAUGAUUUGGGCUACACACGUGCUACAAUGGACAAUACAAAGGGCAGCGAAACCGCGAGGUCAAGCAAAUCCCAUAAAGUUGUUCUCAGUUCGGAUUGUAGUCUGCAACUCGACUACAUGAAGCUGGAAUCGCUAGUAAUCGUAGAUCAGCAUGCUACGGUGAAUACGUUCCCGGGUCUUGUACACACCGCCCGUCACACCACGAGAGUUUGUAACACCCGAAGCCGGUGGAGUAACCUUUUAGGAGCUAGCCGUCGAAGGUGGGACAAAUGAUUGGGGUGAAGUCGUAACAAGGUAGCCGUAUCGGAAGGUGCGGCUGGAUCACCUCCUUU
This 528-nucleotide ribosomal RNA is filed under the name Staphylococcus aureus. RNAcentral's name for it is "bacterial SSU rRNA". It matches the Rfam family "Bacterial small subunit ribosomal RNA", at positions 1006 to 1533 of the family's 1533-position model. Lineage: Bacteria; Bacillati; Bacillota; Bacilli; Caryophanales; Staphylococcaceae. The record is from RNAcentral.